GACGAACGCUGGCGGCGUGCUUAACACAUGCAAGUCGAACGGAAAGGCCCUGCUUUUGUGGGGUGCUCGAGUGGCGAACGGGUGAGUAACACGUGAGUAACCUGCCCUUGACUUUGGGAUAACUUCAGGAAACUGGGGCUAAUACCGGAUAGGAUCUCCUGCUGCAUGGUGGGGGUUGGAAAGUUUCGGCGGUUGGGGAUGGACUCGCGGCUUAUCAGCUUGUUGGUGGGGUAGUGGCUUACCAAGGCUUUGACGGGUAGCCGGCCUGAGAGGGUGACCGGCCACAUUGGAACUGAGAUACGGCCCAGACUACUACGGGAGGCAGCAGUGGGGAAUAUUGCACAAUGGGCGGAAGCCUGAUGCAGCAAAGCCGCGUGCGGGAUGACGGCCUUCGGGUUGUAAACCGCUUUCGCCUGUGACGAAGCGUGAGUGACGGUAAUGGGUAAAGAAGCACCGGCUAACUACGUG
RNAcentral lists this ribosomal RNA (468 nucleotides) under uncultured bacterium. RNAcentral's name for it is "partial 16S ribosomal RNA". It matches the Rfam family "Bacterial small subunit ribosomal RNA", at positions 28 to 507 of the family's 1533-position model. The record is from RNAcentral.